GACGAACGCUGGCGGCGUGCUUAACACAUGCAAGUCGAACGGAAAGGCCCUGCUUUUGUGGGGAGCUCGAGUGGCGAACGGGUGAGUAACACGUGAGUAACCGGCCCUUGACUUUGGGAUAACUUCAAGAAACUGGGGCUAAUACCGGAUAGGAGCUCCUGCUGCAUGGUGGGGGUUGGAAAGUGUCGGCGGUUGGGGAUGGACUCGCGGUUUAUCAGCUUGUUGGUGGGGUAGUGGCUUACCAAGGCUUUGACGGGUAGCCGGCCUGAGAGGGUGACCGGCGACAUUGGGACUGAGAUACGGCCCAGACUCCUACGGGAGGCAGCAGUGGGGAAUAUUGCACAAUGGGCGGAAGCCUGAUGCAGCAACGCCGCGUGCGGGAUGACGGCCUUCGGGUUGUAAACCGCUUUCGCCUGUGACGAAGCGUGAGUGACGGUAAUGGGUAAAGAAGCACCGGCUAACUACGUG
RNAcentral lists this ribosomal RNA (468 nucleotides) under uncultured bacterium. Its description in RNAcentral is "partial 16S ribosomal RNA". It matches the Rfam family "Bacterial small subunit ribosomal RNA", at positions 28 to 507 of the family's 1533-position model. The record is from RNAcentral.